This 215-nucleotide unclassified non-coding RNA is filed under the name soil metagenome. Its description in RNAcentral is "partial contains 5.8S ribosomal RNA, internal transcribed spacer 2, and large subunit ribosomal RNA". The record is from RNAcentral.
AACGGUCUAUACCUGCGGUACCUGCGGAAGGAUCAUUAUCGAGUUUACAACUCCCAAACCAUUGUGAAUCUUACCUUUUCGUUGCUUCGGCGGGAUCGCCCCGGGCGCUUCGGUGCCCCGGAUUCAGGCGCCCGCCGGGGGACCUAAACUCUUGUAUUAUAGUGGAUUUCUGAGUGGAUUACACAAAUAAUCAAAACUUUCAGCAACGGAUCUCU